This is an RNA transcript of Arachis stenosperma, 1969 nucleotides long. It is a transcript of the gene named TOM1-like protein 6, with no coding region annotated. The record is from RefSeq and is a predicted model, not a curated record. The transcript has 6 exons. Lineage: Eukaryota; Viridiplantae; Streptophyta; Magnoliopsida; Fabales; Fabaceae.
AACCUAAACCUAACCCAGUAACCCCCAUUCGGCCAUUCCCCCAAGCCCCAAUCCCAAACGAACCCUAGCCCCUCUCUCCCUACUCCCUAGGUCUCACAGCCUCGCUCUCUGCAACUCCCAUCGCCGGUGAGAGACCUCCUCCCACCACCUCGCAGCCACCGCCACCUUCCUCCCAGCGCAGCCAUUCCACUGCUCCCACCCAGGACCUCCUCGCGGACAGAGCAGCCCAGCACUGCAGCACACAACCAGCGCCCAGCGCCCAGCAGGUUGGCACCACGCUUGCAAGUCGCACCCACCACCACCCUCGGUCCCUCGCAACUCGCAAAUCGCACCUAGCAGGCCAGGACCACCCACUCACCCAGGACCACCCAGGACCACUCGAUAGCCUAUUGCAAAACGCAGAGAAGACAGAAGAGAACUCGAACGCAGCUUGGAGGAAGCACCGAAGCAGCCAUCUCUCGUCGCCGUUCCUCAACGCCCAGCCACCGUCGCCGGCCUCGCCUUCUGCCUCCGUCGUGCAGCCACUGUCUCGACGGUGCCACUUCUGUUCCAUCGCGUCAGCCCUUCGGUCGUGCCCUGUUCCUUUCUUGCUACUGAUCUGCUCUGCUCUGUUCUGGCAUUUAGUUCUAGGAUGAUAUACCCAAUCAAUCAACAUCUUGGAGGCAACUUGAAUUAAUGCUGUUUAACUGUGGUUAAUCUUGUCUAAUUUGAAAUUCAUUCGAUGCAAUCAAUUUACAUUUCAAAUGUAGAUGGCAUUGAUAUAUGUAAGGCCAACUGCCAAAGCGAACGGGAGUAGUGUUUCCAAAGCGUUCUUUAGAUGCGUCUCCAAUAUUUACUCCACCUCCUACCCAUCAAGCUUCAGGAAGUAUGCAUGCUGGAUAUGGGAUGCCAAGCGGUUCUUCAAAAACACUUGACAAAACAAUGGCAACAGAUAUAGAAACUUUGAGGUGAAAUUUCAAUUUUUUCACUAUGUUGCCAACCGCUGGUGCUGACCUCUGUCACCAGACUUGUGUAAACUAAAAUAUCUCUCCUUUUUCCUUGUCUUCUUUUAUUUUUUUUAUAAUUCAUAGUUUGUCAAGCUUGGAAUCCAUGCGCCAUGUUAUGGACCUGUUGAGUGACAUGCUUCAAGCUGUGAAUCCUAGUGACUGUACGGCUGUAAAAGACGAAGUAAUUGUUGAUCUUGUUGAUCGCUGUCGCACCAACCAGAAAAAUUGAUGCAGAUGCUAACAACAACUGGGGAUGAGGAGCUUCUUGGACGAGGCCUUGAACUAAAUGAUAGUAUUCAGAGUUUGCUUGCAAAACAUGAUGCAAUUGCUACAGGGAAUCCCCUUCCAAUUCAACGUGCAGGUUCCAGCACUCCACCAGGUGAAGUUCUGCCAGAUGAAGCUAACUCAAAUUUCAAUCAAACUGAUGUGCGGAGCCCCAGCCAUCAGACUGACAUGAAGAGCCCCAGCCGCAGUCCCGUAGAGUCUAUUUCAAUGAUUGUACUCUGAACACUCCACAAGCUCUAAGGUUCAAUCACAAAAAGGGGCUGCAAGGGAACAAAAAUAAAUCAAAACAAUGAUGAUGGACAAGUUAAUCUGUUACUUUGAAAAUUUUUUACAUUCUCGGAUCAAUGUAUCUGAAUAUAACUAGGAUCUGGAUAUGGUGAUAGAAGGAUGUAUCAAAUUUUCACUGCGAGAUUAAGGGGAACAAAAGAAGUAUUUAGUUGAAGACCUAGAAUGUACUUACCAUGUCAACACUAACAGGCUUGCCAUCUUCUGCAAGGAUUUCGACUAUAGUUCCUGAUUGAUCAGCCUGUAUAUACACACACAAGACACAAAUUUGUAGUUCAAGAUGGAAAGAAAAUCUGAAGAACUGUGAAGUGAAGAUAAUGCUACAACUUAUGCAUCUCCCAUUGCUUUUUAAAUUUGCAUCCCAUAGUUACUAACCAAGAAAAUCAAGUUGGUUUACUGGUUCACUAUGCAAU